Long non-coding RNA from Oncorhynchus keta (chum salmon), 372 nucleotides. RefSeq lists it as uncharacterized. NCBI's taxonomy places the organism in Eukaryota, Metazoa, Chordata, Actinopteri, Salmoniformes, Salmonidae. The record is from RefSeq and is a predicted model, not a curated record. The transcript has 3 exons.
GUACUGCUUGGCCUUCAGAUAACCAGAACUAUUGACAGGUUAGAGGUUAAGGACAGGGAUAAUGUACUGCUUGGCCUUCAGAUAACCAGAGCUAUGGACAGGUUAGAGGUUAAGGACAGGGAUAAUGUACUGCUUGGCCUUCAGAUAACCAGAGUUCUGGACAGGUUAGAGGUUAAGGACAGGGAUAAUGUACUGCUUGGCCUUCAGAUAACCAGAACUAUGGACAGGUUAGAGGUUAAGGACAGGGAUAAUGUACUGCUUGGCCUUCAGAUAACCAGAACUAUGGACAGGUUAGAGGUUAAGGACAGGGAUAAUGUACUGCUUGGCCUUCAGAUAACCAGAGUUCUGGACAGGUUAGAGGUUAAGGACAGG